CAGUCGCCGCGGUAAUACGGAGGGAGCUAGCGUUGUUCGGAAUUACUGGGCGUAAAGCGCGCGUAGGCGGUUACUCAAGUCAGGGGUGAAAUCCCGGGGCUCAACCCCGGAACUGCCUUUGAUACUGGGUGUCUAGAGUAUGGAAGAGGUGAGUGGAAUUCCGAGUGUAGAGGUGAAAUUCGUAGAUAUUCGGAGGAACACCAGUGGCGAAGGCGGCUCACUGGUCCAUUACUGACGCUGAGGUGCGAAAGCGUGGGGAGCAAACAGGAUUAGAUACCCCGGUAGUCCCUGUCUCUUAUAA
This 301-nucleotide ribosomal RNA is filed under the name uncultured bacterium. RNAcentral's name for it is "partial 16S ribosomal RNA". It matches the Rfam family "Bacterial small subunit ribosomal RNA", at positions 509 to 809 of the family's 1533-position model. The record is from RNAcentral.